Molecule: ribosomal RNA, 485 nt
Filed under: uncultured bacterium
Lineage: Bacteria
Description: bacterial SSU rRNA
Rfam family: Bacterial small subunit ribosomal RNA
Source: RNAcentral
AUUGAACGCUGGCGGCAUGCUUUACACAUGCAAGUCGAACGGCAGCGCGGGGGCAACCCUGGCGGCGAGUGGCGAACGGGUGAGUAAUGUAUCGGAACGUAUCCUGUAAUGGGGGAUAACCAGUCGAAAGAUUGGGUAAUACCGCAUACGCACGAGAGUGGAAAGUAGGGGAUCGCAAGACCUUACGUUAUAGGAGCGGCCGAUAUCUGAUUAGCUAGUUGGUGGGGUAAAGGCCUACCAAGGCGACGAUCAGUAGCUGGUCUGAGAGGACGACCAGCCACACUGGGACUGAGACACGGCCCAGACUCCUACGGGAGGCAGCAGUGGGGAAUUUGGACAAUGGGCGAAAGCCUGAUCCAGCCAUGCCGCGUGCAGGAAGAAGGCCUUCGGGUUGUAAACUGCUUUAGUCUAGGAAAAAAGGGGUGCGAGGUUAAUACCCUCGUGCUUUGAUGGUACUGGAAGAAUAAGCACCGGCUAACUACGUG